Long non-coding RNA from Oncorhynchus nerka (sockeye salmon), 1214 nucleotides. RefSeq lists it as uncharacterized. The transcript has 2 exons. Lineage: Eukaryota; Metazoa; Chordata; Actinopteri; Salmoniformes; Salmonidae. The record is from RefSeq and is a predicted model, not a curated record.
UUCAAAAAUCGAGUAUGUUUUAAUAAAUGCCAGGAUGUUCUAAUAUUUUCAGCUUUUUUUGUAGAAUUCGCUGCAGACUUUUCGUGAAUCUCACAGCCACGCAUUGGAAGAGGCAUGCUGCGAGUUUUGAUAGCUAGAACUCUUCAAGUAAACAACAAAACAACUUUGAAGAUGGCGAAUAGCAAAGCUUCUGCAGUGGAGUUAAAAUGGAAGUAGUUUUUGUUGUCCUUAAAAUGAUCACGACUAUUUCAUCGUAAGAGCCAAUUUAUGGAAGGUGUGACGCAAUUUUGAAACCUCCGUAGGCAUAGAAAGGUCAAAUUGAGCUUCGUACCACAUCGCCAUUCCCACAUUUUGUAAAAAUGUGGAUGGCACCGUAUAGCUAUGAUUGCUUGACGGAUCUAUGUAAAGGAGUGUGAGCUGGAGAGGCUGCUGUCACCUGCAUGGGUGAAAAAGAAGUGGGAGAACCAUGAGCGAAAAAUUAACGGUACGCUACUGCAUGUCAUCUUGACAUUUAUAGCUGUGCUGUACUUGGCUUAUAAAGUACCACUUUUCUCUGAGAGCAAUAACACUUUCCCAUCUAUUUCCUAUGCUUCACCAGAACAUUCACGUAAGUGUGAAGAUACACAUGCUAGAAAGGUGCAAGUAUUGCAAAGAAAUGGCAUAAUACAUUUUUACAUUGCUUUACAUGCAGUAUGUUUGAUGCUGAGAGUGAUCCUUUCCCAUAUUUUCAGAAGUUGAAAGCUCCCCGCACCGGAGUUAGCAUGGAGGGAGUGGAGUCCACAACCACAUCCUGGAAAUGAUAUGCGGUGAUGGAUGAGGAGAUGAUGGACCGGCCAUCAUCUUCUCAUCCUCCCUAGGUGCAGCCGUGGGCUCCUCUCCCUUCCAGAAGGGUCCAGAUGUGGAUGCUGGAUAAAGAGUGGGAGAAGGAGGUGACUGCCAGGGAGGCACACCUAUUUAGAGGCCAGGGAGGCAUGCCAUUUUAGGGACCAUGAUUAAGAAGUUGUUUUAUGUAUUUUGUAGGUGUUUUAUUUAUAGCUAAUAUUUAUUCAUUUUGUACUGUUUUUGGUGUCUUCCUUUUUUUAAACCCAAAGUGGAUUUCUGUUCUCAUUGAAAAGUGUUUCUUGUUUGUAAUAUUUGAUAUUGGUACAUUUACUGUUGGUAUAUUUUACUUUCAACAUUUCAACAUAAAAAAGUGCACUCGCACAUCUGAGCUA